CUGCCUCGAUAACUGUGCAUACAAAUUUUCUUCCAAGCGAUACCGAUGAGCUUCGUGUGCAUCGGCACAACAAUAUCCAUCGCCGAAGCAGGCAUAAUAGAGAUCCAUGUAUGCUUCUACAUCGCCAAAUAACAUCUCCAUCCCCUUGCAAUUAGGGUUAGGUCUGGUGCUAGGAUUUGGGUUUCUUAGAAUCCAAGAUGCUCCUCGACCUCUUCGGCGGUGGAGGUGGCGGCGGUGGUCAUCGGAGGGCUUAAACAAGGGGGUAUUUAUUUUCUUUUGGUUUACCUUUGUCCUUUUCAUUUGAUGCUGAUCACAGUCUUUUGGAUUGCUCUGCUUAAGAUGUGUACGUUCAUUGUUGGUGCGCCAAUGAGGAUGUUGGAAGAAAUGAGAGAUAUGGUUCACUUAAUAGUUUAUGCCAAAGUCUUCACUGUUGUACUCCGGUCAAGCUUGGCUAUAAUGCUAGUAAGAAUGGUUAUCGAUAAGUUCGGUAUACUAGCUAUUCGCAAUUCAUGGUAUGAUGCAAGACAAAUCGCUGAUCAUGUUUCUACAAGGUUACACAAAGCCACUGAUGUGUAAAGGCUGGGAAAUGGCUCUUUUGGAGUACACAAUGGCCAUGCUUAUAGAUUCUGCGUCGAAAUCAAAGCCACCACUAACUAGAUGACUUGCUGAGAUCUCAUGCCCUUGCAGUUAGGGUUAAGGGAGCUUAGAGUGAGCAUGAAUGAGGGAGCUUUCAUUCUCACUGGCUAUGUUUUGGAUUUCUCAUCCUUAUUGAAGACAUCGCCUUAGCUGCUUAAGAUGUUGGAGCUCCUUCAACAAGCAAACCUUUGUGUUGCAGCAAAAUUUGAAGAGAAAAGGUAUUUGUCAGGGAAAUUACUCUUAUAUUGUCUUUGAUGUAUUUCAUUUUCUGUUUCUGCUAUACACAGGAACUAUUACACAAAAAAGCCUUGAAGGAUUUAGAUGCCAAACUAUAGGAAUAACAGGUUAGGGUGUUCUCCAAUUUCAUGACCUCUUGGCCUACUUGCACUAAAUGAAAAAUUAUAUGGGUAGUUUUGGAUCCACGGCUGGCCCAAUAAUCAUAAAAUUUCAAUUACCCAAUUGGUAAGCUUGCAGAGCAUAUUGCAGCUUCAAGCAUUUUAUAAGCACGUUGCUUCCAAAUGGUGAAUGUGUGCCACUUAUUUGACGAAUUUGGAGUGAAUUGUAUUCCAUGAAGUAAUUUGUAGCUCUUAUGCAUAUGCUUUGAUUAAUACAUGUUGCAUUAAUGUAGGCAAAAAGGCUUAAGUUAAUGUUCUACUUAUGGCGUUUAAUAAUGGCCCAUGCAUAUAGAUCAUGUUUCAUAUAUUAAAUUUUAUUUUUGUUGUGUUGUUUUACCAACCAAUGCAUAUCCUUUUCUUCCAUUGGGAGUGUUAUAGAUAAUUGUGAUUUUCAGCUUAGGUACGAUCUUCUUUAAUUUGGUGCUACCUCAUUCCUUUCAUUGGUUGCUUAUAUGUGAUAACCAUUUUGUUAUGAUGCUCGACAACAAUUCAAACAAAUGCAUACAUUAAGAGAAUACUUGCAAGUUUUAUACAGGGAUUAGGAAUGACAACUUUUUCAGAGCUGCUAGUUGCAUCUACUCAAAUUUUUCUAUCAACUUAUCAACCAAAUGACUGAUAGAAUAAAAUCUUUAGAUGAAUUUGGUCAGUUGUUAUUGUUGAUGGAUCUCAAAUUCAAAUCGUGAUGUUUUGGAUGGCAAUCUUUUAUUGGACAUUCUAUUACUGAUUUUUAAGAACAUUAAUAUUUUGAGAUCAUGAGUAUUUCAAUUACUGAGUCUAACACCAGGAAUGAAACCUAUAUAUUGAAGGAACAGGAACCUGAUUAACUAGAAUAAUUGGUUUAAGAUCUAUAAUGUUAUGGGUCAAUUUUUGUUAUAUCCACUUACCUGAUUAGGUAUGAAGAAAUAAGUUGGCUUAUGAAAGGAUAGAUUUAUCUAACUAAUUAGGAAAACAGAGUCUAUGUCUAAUAAGAGUUUUUUCACAUUGUUUGCUAAAUAAAUAAGUACAUUGCAAUGCUUUCAAAGAAAUAAGUUGGAAUCCUAUUUUAUCCAUAAAUGCUUCACUGAUUUGGUUAUAUCUUGUAAUUUGGUUUCUCUUCAAGUGUUUUCAUUAAUAAACAUUGGAUAUACACAUAAAACCAAUUGCUUAGGUCUAGCUAUGGAAAUUUUUGUUUAGUUCAUGGUUGAUUUUAAAUGGAACUCUUUUUUUUCAUAAAACUUUUUUUGUGAAGAAGGAUGUUAUAAUGCAGCCAUAUCUCUUUCAACUUCAUAUUAACAGUUGAAACAGAAUUGACUAGUUAUUGUUCUGCUUUGUUUGAAUACUAUCUAUAAUACCCUUUUGAUUUCACUCUGUAGGUUAGGCUUAUCUUGUUGUCCAUUUUAAUAAUUUCAUAUUGGAUUGAAAAAAGUUUCAUUGUCUAGAAGAGGGUGAUGAUAGGUCUGUCUUCUGAUUGGUUGGUGGACUUAGAAAUGUUAAAAUAUAUUUACCAUAUAUCUUAUAAAAUCAUCAAAUGAAACAUGCAUGUUUCACCUUUAUGUCUUUCCCAGAGAAAUAUGAAAGUUGCUUUUUUUUUUAGCCAGAAAUCUCACUCAUGUUCAGAUGUCAUGUGGUCCUACUGGCACGUUCCAUGUCACAUAUGCCCAUCAUUCUGAUUGCUCUGUCUGCUGGUAUAUAUCAAGGUUGAAGCCAAAUUCAUUUUACGAUUGUUGUAUAAGAAACAGGGGCUGGUUUAGGGGGCUGUACUUCCAUGAGUGAUAUUUCUGGCUGUUCUCCUUUCAACUUAGUUAUCUCCUUUAAAAAUUUCAUUGCCUUUUAAUUAGUCCAAUUAAAUAUAUGAAUACGUUGAAUUUGCUGAUUAAUUCAACAUUUGUAUGUAUAUGGAUAUUCAACAUAUAAGUAGGUCCAUGCAAAGACUUAUUUUCUUCUUAAACAUCAAGGUAUUAAUCUCUUGCAUACUCACCCGUCUCUACGCAAAAUACAUUGACAAUUAAUAAAUAAAUAAAUAUAUAGAUAAAGGGUGCCCAUUGGAUUCGUAUUUUUUUAUUUAAGUUUUUUUCCAUAUACCUUAUGUUAGUUAUUGCAUAUAUACUAUAAAAUUAACAUUGCAUGUAUCAUUUUGGAAAUCUUUUUCUAUUGUCAGUAUAUAUAUACCUCGCCUAUUCAAUUCCUGAUCCUUUUUUAUUAUUUUUAAUUAAACCUAUAGAUAUAUAUAUAUAUAUUAAAUUCCCUACUCUAGUUAGUGAUAACCUUCCUUUCGCUUAUCAUAUUUUAAAUGAAUUGACUGUAGAAUUGAACAAAAAUGGUUCCAUUUUACAUUGACUUAAGAACAUCGAUUAGGAGCUUAAUGAAGAGUUUGUGAAAAAUAAUUUAAAGUGUGAAAAGUAGGAGGAAUACGCCAUUGCUUACUUUAAUUGUCUUCCCAUCAAUUAUUGAUGGGGCAGGUGCUAAUGCAAUUUUGAAAUUAAUAGCAAAACUUUCUUUGUCCAAAAUUAAAAUUUUAUCUGAAACUAAUUGAGUUAUGCACUUUCAUCCUUAGUUGGUAGAAUAAUUAAAAGAAAAAAAGAUGAUAAUUUCCGUCACUUGUGUUUCUAUUACUGUUUUGGUGGCAGUGCUCCUUGGAUUUUGUGUAGGAUGUUUGUUUAUUGUGUCAUCUUAAAUUGAUUGCUGGUAAUGUUUUCAGCCUGCAGAAAGUGGACUUGGUGGGUUUUCGUUGAAAUUAUAUGGAAAAUUUGGAAGGAUUCUAGCUUUAUAUUAUAGUGGCAGACUGAGAGGUGGAGUUUGAUUGCUUUGGCAUCUCAAUGUCUGGGAUGUAUUGAAGUCCUGCAAUUUGAACAAAUAUUAACUUGUUUUGGAAGACAUUAUUUGUAAGUUGCCUACUAAGGCAUCUGAACCUCUACAUGGAUCUGGCAGUGGGAAGUUUUAUGUAUCCCAUACUUGAACAAGCAUAUAUAUAUAACACAUUCAAAUGCAGUACUAAGAAACAUAAAAUCAAUUAAAGUAUAGCAAUUUGACAUUGUAGAAUAUAGUGCGAGAAAUAUAAAUGCUAACUAUUACUUAUAUGCACACUAUUGGAUCCACUUAGAACAAUUUUAAAAUAUUAGAAGUAAGUUUACGUUAACUUUUUUUAUCAUUGUCAUUCCUCUUGGGCCCAAUCAAAACGAGUCUUGCCUUGUUUCAAAGAUGUAUUGAAUGUGUUACUAUCUGAAUAGGCUUGAAUAAUUACACUGUAGGAUAUCCACAUCCUUUUUCUCAUUCUAAAACUUGUUUGUCUAAUGCUUGUGUGUAUAUGCAUGUUUUUCUUUGUGGUUUUUUGUUAGUGUUGUCACUAUGUUGCCUUCUUGAUUGGGAUUGGUUAGUUGUGUUGAUUUGUUGUAUAUGCUCCUAGUAAGAGUUAAGAGGCCCUUCUAAAUUAUGAGUAUAGCCCUUUCCUAUGAAUUUGGUCAAAAUAUUGGGCAAAUUCAAGUUGUACCUUUUAGCCAUAGCAUCGUCAUCCUUAGUUUUCCUUUAUGUAGUGUGAUCUAUUUAGGAAGGCAGAAGAUAUAAUCUAAUGUUAUGCACAGGCAUCCAUUCCAAACAAAUUUAUUUUUGUAUGUCUGGGAAAGGUGGCAUCUUUAAACAUUGGAAUAUAAUAAUAGAUGGAUAUAAUCCUUAAUUUUCUUGAUCAACUCUUACUCUAUUAGUUCACAUUGAUAGAAUUAUGAUAUCAAUGCAAUGCAUGUCUGUGAUUUGGUCUCUCAAGGUUAAAGCACAACACAUUUUUAUCAUUCAAGUCCACCGCUGGAACGGUGAGAUCUAGUCUUUGCUCUACUACAUUUAGGAAAUUAUUAUUUCAAGUUUGUUGAACUUCUCACUUUCAACUGUCAAAUCUUUGUCCUUAUUCUCUUUUAGCCUGAAUGGAUGGCACCAGAGGUGUUGCACAAUGAACCAUCAAAUAAGAAGUGGAAAAAGAUAGGCUUCUGUCACAUUGAUGUUGAACUCGCGAAUAUACAGGAACAGAUUAAGAAAAUGGAAACAGCCGAUGAGUGGCAAAUGGAUGCUUGGUAUGGGGUUUGGCUCCGGGCUUUGUACAACAGGGGACAUCAAUACGAGCUAUUUUCACAACUCUGUCAAAAUCAGACAACACUUGAACAAAGUGAGAGAG
This is a long non-coding RNA of Dioscorea cayenensis subsp. rotundata (Guinea yam), 5169 nucleotides long. RefSeq lists it as uncharacterized. NCBI's taxonomy places the organism in Eukaryota, Viridiplantae, Streptophyta, Magnoliopsida, Dioscoreales, Dioscoreaceae. The transcript is spliced from 5 exons. The record is from RefSeq and is a predicted model, not a curated record.